This 77-nucleotide transfer RNA is filed under the name subsurface metagenome. Its description in RNAcentral is "tRNA-Val". It matches the Rfam family "tRNA". From Rfam's summary of the family: Transfer RNA (tRNA) molecules are approximately 80 nucleotides in length. Their secondary structure includes four short double-helical elements and three loops (D, anti-codon, and T loops). The record is from RNAcentral.
CUGUGGUUAGCUCAGUUGGUUAGAGCGCCUGCUUUACACGCAGGAGGUCAGAGGUUCAAGUCCUCUACCGCCCACCA